CUCGGGAGGUUGAGGUGGAAGAAUCACUUGAACCUGGAGGCAGAGCGUGCAGGGAGCCGAGAUCGCACCAUUGCACCCCAGCCUGGGCAACAAGGGUGAAACUCCAUCUCAA
Long non-coding RNA from Sapajus apella (tufted capuchin), 112 nucleotides. RefSeq lists it as uncharacterized. The record is from RefSeq and is a predicted model, not a curated record. Lineage: Eukaryota; Metazoa; Chordata; Mammalia; Primates; Cebidae. The transcript is spliced from 2 exons.